This 590-nucleotide ribosomal RNA is filed under the name uncultured archaeon. Its description in RNAcentral is "bacterial SSU rRNA". It matches the Rfam family "Archaeal small subunit ribosomal RNA", at positions 83 to 656 of the family's 1478-position model. The record is from RNAcentral.
GUACGGCUCAUUAACACGUAGUCAACCUGCCCUGGAGACAUGGACAACCCCGGGAAACUGGGAUUAAUCCGUGAUAGGUCAUCUCAUCUGGAAGGAGAGAUGGCUUAAAGGGAUGCACGGGCUUCUUCCGUGUAUUUGCUCCAGGAUGGGACUGCGUCCGAUCAGGCUGUUGGCGGGGUAAUGGCCCACCAAGCCAGUAACCGGUACGGGCCUUGAGAGAGGUGGCCCGGAGAUGGACACUGAGAGAAGGGUCCAGGUCCUACGGGGCGCAGCAGGCGCGAAACCUUCGCAAUGCGCGAAAGCGUGACGAGGUUAAUCCGAGUGACUUCCGCUGAGGAGGUCUUUUGUCAGCUGUAAAUAGGCAGGCGAAUAAGGGGAGGGCAAGCCUGGUGUCAGCCGCCGCGGUAAUACCAGCUCCUCGAGUGGUCGGGGCGAUUAUUGGGCCUAAAGCAUCCGUAGCCGGUUCCGUAGGUCCUCUGUUAAAUCCAACCGCUCAACGGUUGACCUGCAGAGGAUACCGCGGGACUAGGAGGCGGGAGAGGCGGACGGUACUCCGCGUGUAGGGGUAAAAUCCUUUGAUCCGCGGAAGA